This 904-nucleotide ribosomal RNA is filed under the name uncultured bacterium. Its description in RNAcentral is "bacterial SSU rRNA". It matches the Rfam family "Bacterial small subunit ribosomal RNA", at positions 8 to 916 of the family's 1533-position model. The record is from RNAcentral.
AGAGUUUGAUCCUGGCUCAGGAUGAACGCUAGCGGCAGGCUUAACACAUGCAAGUCGAGGGGUAGAGUUAGCUUGCUAACUUGAGACCGGCGCACGGGUGCGUAACGCGUAUGCAAUCUACCUUGUACAGAGGGAUAGCCCAGAGAAAUUUGGAUUAAUACCUCAUAGUAUCUUCGGAAGGCAUCUUCUGAUUAUUAAAGUUUCAACGGUACAAGAUGAGCAUGCGUCCCAUUAGCUAGAUGGUAAGGUAACGGCUUACCAUGGCAACGAUGGGUAGGGGUCCUGAGAGGGAGAUCCCCCACACUGGUACUGAGACACGGACCAGACUCCUACGGGAGGCAGCAGUGAGGAAUAUUGGUCAAUGGAGGCAACUCUGAACCAGCCAUGCCGCGUGCAGGAAGACGGUCCUAUGGAUUGUAAACUGCUUUUAUACGGGAAGAAACACUGCUACGUGUAGCAGCUUGACGGUACCGUAAGAAUAAGCAUCGGCUAACUCCGUGCCAGCAGCCGCGGUAAUACGGAGGAUGCGAGCGUUAUCCGGAAUCAUUGGGUUUAAAGGGUCCGUAGGCGGCCUUAUAAGUCAGUGGUGAAAUCUCCUAGCUCAACUAGGAAACUGCCAUUGAUACUGUAGGGCUUGAAUUAUUGGGAAGUAACUAGAAUAUGUAGUGUAGCGGUGAAAUGCUUAGAUAUUACAUGGAAUACCAAUUGCGAAGGCAGGUUACUAUCAAUAUAUUGACGCUGAUGGACGAAAGCGUGGGGAGCGAACAGGAUUAGAUACCCUGGUAGUCCACGCCGUAAACGAUGGAUACUAGCUGUUCGGAGCAAUCUGAGUGGCUAAGCGAAAGUGAUAAGUAUCCCACCUAGGGAGUACGCACGCAAGUGUGAAACUCAAAUGAAUUGACGG